Cornus florida is the source of this 3577-nucleotide RNA transcript. It is a transcript of the gene named pentatricopeptide repeat-containing protein At1g79490, mitochondrial, with no coding region annotated. The transcript has 5 exons. NCBI's taxonomy places the organism in Eukaryota, Viridiplantae, Streptophyta, Magnoliopsida, Cornales, Cornaceae. The record is from RefSeq and is a predicted model, not a curated record.
UCCGACCCGUUUCAAGGCUUUAGCUGCUCAGUCCCAUAACAGUAAUGGGAACCAUCAGCAAGCUAGGGUUUGUCGUGCUCCAGUGAAAGGGAAGAAUACUGCAAGUAUAAAUUCUUCUUCUGGUAAGAAUUCAUUCAAUCCCUAUAAUACUGUAAAACACAUAUCCUAUAUCGAUUAUCAUGAAAUUCUUUUGAUAUUUGUGUUCGAGUUCUGGUCCAACAAUGAUUCGCCGUAAUCUUCUGUGCCCUAGAAAUCUCAAACAUACUAUGUAUAUGUUCAACAGUAUUCAUCUAGUUAGAAAAAACCCUUCAUCUGGUUCAGCUACAGAACCAUUGAAUGACUGUUGCAAUGGGUUCAGAUUAUUAACCUUUGUGGAAGGUUUCAAUUAUAGUUUUCCAAUAAUUAGGUGUUUGUCAGUGACAAAGAGCCCUAAUUUUGUUCGAAGUUACUGUUCUGGGAAGAGCACUGAAAAUUCCAGUGAGUGGACUGAAGAAAUAGAGUACCUGGACGAAUCGGGUACUGUUAUAUAUACUGGUAAGGGUAUAAGAUCAGUUGCGCCUGGGCUUGAUGACCAUGUGAUGGUGGGUGGGGUAAAGAAGCCACUUUUGAAUGCUUCAGCGGUUGCAAAGAUCGUUGAGAUUGUGAAGAGGUGGAAAUGGGGGCCUCAAAUGGAGACCCAAUUGGACAGACUCCAAUUUGUGCCAACCAUGACACACAUUACUCAGGCCUUGAAGGUUAUUGGAGAUAGCGAUGCUUCAUCGAGUUUGUUUCGAUGGGCAAAGAGGCAGUCUUGGUAUUUGGCUAAUGAUGAGUGUUAUCUGACAUUGUUUGAUAGGUUGAACCAGAAUAGAGAUUUUGAUGGGAUUCAAUCUAUGUUCGAUGAGAUGAUUAGUGAAUCUAGUACUGAUGGGAUGUCUUCAUUUAAUGCAUACAAUAGGGUCAUUCAAUAUUUAGCAAAAGCUGAGAAAUUGGAGGUGUCAUUCCAUUGUUUCAAGAAGAUUCAGAAUUCGGGUUCUAAGAUUGAUACCCAGACGUAUAAUUCUCUCAUAACAUUGUUUCUAAACAAGGGUUUGCCUUAUAAGGCGUUUGAAAUAUAUGAGAACAUGGAAGAGUCCGGGAGUUCAUUGGAUGGAUCUACCUAUGAGUUGAUGAUACCAACCCUAGCGAAAUCAGGCCGUCUUGAUGCUGCAUUCAAGCUAUUUCAGGAAAUGAAAGGAAGGAAUUUUCGACCGAGUUUUGCCGUUUUUGCAUCACUUGUUGAUUCAAUGGGGAAAGCUGGGAGGUUGGACACGUCCAUGAAGGUGUAUAUGGAAAUGCAAGGUUUUGGGCUGAGACCAUCUGCAACCAUAUUUGUGUCUCUGAUUGAGUCAUUUGUGAAGGCUGGGAAGCUAGAUACGGCUCUUAGGCUCUGGGCUGAGAUGAAGAAAGCAGGUUAUAGGCCUAACUAUGGGCUGUACACAAUGAUUGUCGAGUCGCAUGCAAAAUCAGGGAAGCUUGAGAUUGCAAUGUCUGUAUUUUCAGAUAUGGAGAAGGCUGGUUUUCUACCCACCCCAUCUACCUACGCCUGUCUCUUGGAAAUGCAUGCUGCUUCUGGUCAAAUAGAUGCUGCCAUGAAGCUGUACAACUCAAUGACGAAUGCAGGUCUGAGACCGGGACUAAGUACUUAUACCUCCCUUCUGAUACUUUUAGCAAAUAAGAAGCUUGUGGAUGUUGCUGCAAAAAUCUUACUUGAAAUGAAGGCCAUGGGAUAUUCAGUUGAUGUGAGUGCUAGUGAUGUUUUAAUGGUUUAUAUCAAGGAUGGUUCAGUGGAUCUUGCUUUGAGGUGGCUACGUUUCAUGGGUUCAUCUGGUGUUAGAACGAAUAAUUUCAUAAUCAGGCAGCUCUUUGAAUCAUGCAUGAAGAAUGGUUUGUUUGAGUCAGCUAAGCCUCUCCUUGAAACUUAUGUAAACUCUGCUGCAAAGGUGGAUCUCAUACUUUAUACAUCAAUUUUAGCCCAUCUUGUAAGAUGCCAAGAAGAGAAUAAUGAGAGGCAUUUGAUGUCUAUCCUAAGCGCUACAAAACAUAAAGCACACAUUUUCAUGUGCGGACUCUUCAUGGGCCCAGAGCAGAGAAAAAAACCAGUAUUAUCAUUUGUGAGGGAAUUUUUCCAGGGUAUUGAUUAUGAAUUGGAAGAGGGACCUGCCAGGUACUUCGUCAAUGUUCUCCUUAACUACCUUGUUCUUAUGGGGCAGAUAAACCGAGCUCGUUGUGUGUGGAAAGUCUCCUAUGAGAAUAAGCUUUUCCCAAAAGCAAUAGUGUUUGAUCAGCAUAUUGCAUGGUCCCUUGAUGUCAGAAAUUUGUCAGUUGGUGCAGCUCUUAUAGCAGUAGUUCACACCCUCCAUAGGUUUAGGAAGCGAAUGUUGUACUAUGGUGUUGUCCCAAGACGGAUCAAAUUGGUCACUGGACCUACAUUAAAAAUUGUGAUUGCACAAAUGUUAUGCUCAGUAGAUUCACCAUUUGAGGUUAGUAAGGUGGUUCUGAGAGCCCCAGGUGAUUCUGUUUUGGAGUGGUUUAAGAAACCAAUUGUCCAGCAAUUCCUUUUGAAUGAGAUUCCAUCAAGGGCUGACAUUCUCAUGCACAAGCUCAACACACUUUUUCCUAGUUCUGCACCUGAAAUUAGAUCUCUAUCCCCUCCUAAACCACUCGUUACUGGGAGGCAAUGGACUACCAACAAUGUCUGAGAUUAGAUCAUUGACCAGAGGGAGAGAAGACUAGUUGGACCGUAGACAAGUGGGACACAGCACUGCUGAGAUAGGGGGGGUUGCUGUUGGCUGUUGAGGAGGAGACAAGCAGUGUCCCUAAUUUCUCCACUUUCUUCUUAGUUUUACUGUAUAAUUUAUAUAACACUCAAAUCCAGCCAUGCUUCAUGGUGAAAAUGUGCUUGGAUAACCAUUUCAGCAACUGUGAGUCUGAUACAAAUUCUUCUUUGAGCGAGAAAGCCAAUCCCCUUGGAAAGAUGAAGAGGAGCUGAAUGGUGUAUGAAUCCUUCACCAUCGGGCAUGGGAUUCAAAUACUAGGAGGGAAUGAUAAUAGUUGCAUUAUAAAUUUUCUGUGGUGCCUCUAUAAGAUGAAUUAUAGAGUAUAUAUGGAUGUAGCAUCUCCCUCACAGGCAGAACUGGUAUCGGUAUCAGAUUUGUUGCUGGCAGUAUGAAUUUGGUAGCGUUAACACAGGCAUUACUAGCAUACUGGAAGCUGGAAGGUGGUUGUGUUGCCAACGGAGGUCUUGGGGAACUAUUCCACUUGUUGCGAGGCCAGCAGUUGCUGAUGAAAGUAGAUCUGGUGGCCUAAAUAUCCAGUAAGGUUUGGAGUAUGACAAUCAGAUCACGACGAUACUAGACUGUGGUUAUUUGUUUUGUGUUAAAAGUUAUAAUUCCUGAAAGGGAAUUCCACGGUACGGUGAAUGAACCCGAUACCCGUGUUUAUAUGUUUCUUGUGCCACUUCUACAGUUGUUUUACAAUUAUCGGUGGUCUUUCUUGUUUUGGGGUUAUUACUAUAACAUUUUCCAUUAGUGGUUUACAGAUUGUGUAAAUUGAGUUA